ACGCGCACACACACACGCGCGCGCACACACACACACACACACACACAGUCUGUCUGUGUGCGUGUGUGUAUGUGUGUGUGU
RNAcentral lists this microRNA precursor (81 nucleotides) under Podarcis lilfordi (Lilford's wall lizard). Lineage: Eukaryota; Metazoa; Chordata; Lepidosauria; Squamata; Lacertidae. The record is from RNAcentral.